Cavia porcellus (domestic guinea pig) is the source of this 1402-nucleotide long non-coding RNA. RefSeq lists it as uncharacterized. The record is from RefSeq and is a predicted model, not a curated record. NCBI's taxonomy places the organism in Eukaryota, Metazoa, Chordata, Mammalia, Rodentia, Caviidae. The transcript is spliced from 8 exons.
CUCGGAAGGAGAAGACAGUCUGCGUUACAGAGAAGUGCAGUGAUCGCUGCUGUGGUAUUUAAUUAGUUACAGUUUAGGAUUUAGGACCCCAGAAGGCACCUGGAGGUAGAACUGGGUAAAGGAGAGAAUAUACCAAGUCACCGAACAGCAGAUUGCUGAAAAGGUGAAGACUACCACAAAGGACAAUGCACAACUAGCAGAAAAAUUGUCAAGUUAUGAACAGAAGGUCCUGGAAAAUGAGAAAUCUGUGGAGAAGCUAAAGGAGGUUAUUUCAAUGAAUGCCUCAGAAUUUUCCAAGCUAGAGCAGGAAGUUGAAGACCAGAAGAAGCUGAACGCUAAACUCAGCCAGCGAAUCAGGUCGUUGGAAAAGUCUCAGAGGGAUCUGGAAGCCACUCUCCAUGAUAAGGAUGAUAGCAUUGGUGCUCUGAACAACUGCAUCAUGCAGCUGAACCGGUUGGAGGAGAGGGGAUUGGAAUCUGAAGGUCCAGGUCCACACAGAUGUGAGCCAGGUGAAUUAGCCAAAGGAGAAGUGGGAGAAAGAUCUCCAACUCCUGCAGUUGAAGCUGAGAGCCUCCCUGUCUGCCAGAUGUGAUCUGGAAGACCAGAUCGUGAAGCUAGGUGAGGACCUCGGCAGGCUGCAGGCAGACAAGGCCCGGAUGAGGAGGAGUUUAGCAUGCUGCAGCAGAAGGUGGAGGUCCUGAAGGAGCUGUCCCACCAGAAGGAGCUGGAGCUGCAGAAGUGAGUCCCAGACAUUUUGCCCAGUGUCUCAUGCUGGCCAUUCCUGUCACUUCUGAUUGCCUAGCAGCUUCGAUGUGCAGUGAUCAUAGAGGAAACUUGGGGCCCAGGGUGCUGCUGGUUUCCUGUGAUGGCGACCUGAGGCUGCUCCUGCCUGUCCGCCAUCACCUUCAUCCAGCUAGCAGUUUGGCCCUGCGUCCCUGCCUCUGUAGCCUCAGCUCCACUACUUGUUUCUUGAAGCCUAGGGAUUUGUCUAGGGCUCAGUUCAGCAUCUUUGGCAUUGUCCUCCAUGUGUGGGUUGAGGGAGGGCAGCACUGGCCUCUGGGCCCACAUUUCGCUUUCUGGCUGGGGCCAAGGCUCCCGUCCACCCAUUCGGCCUAUCUUGUGUGCUUAUCAUGGCCUAGGUCUAGAGGAACAGCUCUUCCCUGACAGUAUGGGGGAAGGGGUGGGUAGACUCCGCCUAUUGCUUUCCCAGCAGCUCUGCUGGACAAUCCUGGCUUCCCUCGGGGUACACUCAUCUCCCACACAGGCAGCUAGAGCCUGGCGCAUGCUGUGCUCUUAGCUUGUUCUGCCACAGCGCAGCUUUCCCAGCUCCCCAUUUCCGAGAAGUGCUGAGCAGGUGGAUCCCGCGCAGGCGGAGGCCUCCUUCGACCUCCCCACCCCCACU